This 250-nucleotide ribosomal RNA is filed under the name uncultured prokaryote. RNAcentral describes it as "partial 16S ribosomal RNA". It matches the Rfam family "Bacterial small subunit ribosomal RNA", at positions 524 to 773 of the family's 1533-position model. The record is from RNAcentral.
UACGGAAGGUCCGGGCGUUAUCCGGAUUUAUUGGGUUUAAAGGGAGCGCAGGCCGGUGGCUAAGCGUGACGUGAAAUGUGGACGCUCAACGUCUGAACUGCGUCGCGAACUGGCCGUCUUGAGUUCGCUGUAGGCAGGUGGAAUUUGUGGUGUAGCGGUGAAAUGCUUAGAUAUCACGAAGAACUCCGAUUGCGUAGGCAGCCUGCUGUGGCGCAACUGACGCUCAUGCUCGAAGGUGCGGGUAUCGAAC